AUGCCGAUCGCCUCCAAGCUCCUCUACUUCCAGCGCCGCCCCUCGCCGGCGCCGCCGGAGCCCCCCGACCCGCGCCGCCGGCCCUGCCGCGGGGCGAGCGCCUCCGCUCCCCGCCGCCAGCGCAGCUCGGCCGUCUCUCACCACCACCACCACCACCACCACCAUCAUCACAAGCCGGUUCAGGACCUUGUUCCAGCAAACCAAAGAGAUGGUGCUAAGCUUAUGGGAUGUGCUGGAAACAAACUAGAACAUAUAGGGGUCGCAUGCUCCAGCUCAAGGCUAAACCGCAGUGUGUCGGAUCAUGGACGGCUCCCUGAUGCUGUUCAACAGGCUAGGGAAAGGCUUCUUCAGAGGCUUAAUAGUGUGGACUUGUCAGGAAGGAGGGAAAACACUUCGUGCUCCGAAACCAUUUGGGCUGGAGUAGUAACUCAUCCUGCUGACAUUGGUGUCUCCAACUUGUCCGAUAGCGAACUUGGUAGCCUAACCAGUUACUUCCAAUCCAGUGUAUCCAUCACCACCUACAACGAAGUUCAAGAAACAUUCCCUGAGCCUUUCAGCACCGUGGAUAAGUGUAUGCCUGUCACCCCGUGCACCGAACCGAUCCCUGUGCUACAAGAAACGGCUUGCGAAGACGUGGAAGAAGGCGAAAACACCGGGCCUUCACUGGAGUGCUCGAUAUGCUUGGAGAGGUGCGGCGAGGCAGACGGGCUUAUGCAGCUGCGCUGCAAGCAUGUCUUCCACUCGGCGUGCCUGGAGCGGUGGCUUCGAUCCCACGGCGACUGCCCCUACUGCAGGGGCAGUGUGCUCCUGACGUCGGAUGAAUGA
This 825-nucleotide ribosomal RNA is filed under the name Triticum aestivum (bread wheat). RNAcentral describes it as "partial small subunit ribosomal RNA". Lineage: Eukaryota; Viridiplantae; Streptophyta; Magnoliopsida; Poales; Poaceae. The record is from RNAcentral.